This 837-nucleotide long non-coding RNA is filed under the name Bos taurus (domestic cattle). RNAcentral describes it as "long non-coding RNA NONBTAT001013". Lineage: Eukaryota; Metazoa; Chordata; Mammalia; Artiodactyla; Bovidae. The record is from RNAcentral.
UUCAUGAUUCACUCAUAACUCUUUCUGUGUAAGUGCUUAAGUGACCCCCUCACUAGUGAAAAUAAAUGUUCUAUAUCACUGAUUAUAUGUAUAUUCUCUAUAUGAUAUAUUUUUUUAAGGAAAAGAAACCCCAUGUGUCCGGAUGAACAAUAUUAUCCUAGUGCAAAGCACAUAUAAAGUGGCUUGUUCUAUUCUGAAAAUCUGGCAUUUACAGGAACAAAACUUUUAGAGUGGCUGGUCAUUGUUUUACCUUCUUUUGGUACUUGAGCAUCUUUCUGUGGUUUUGUAAAUGUGUGUCAUUUUGUAAGAAUUUCUUGUUGAUUCUGCUAAGACAAUAAGUUGCCUCUCUCUGAUGUAUGCUCUAGAUCCAGAAGCAAAACUAAUUUUGCUUUCACUGUUAAUGUUGCAUUUUAGCUCAUUGUUUUAAAUUAGAGAAUAAAAUCGUGGAGCCGAGGGAAACUUUAUAACCCUUCAUUUAAUGGCAUGGCAAACUUUUAAAAUUGCUUUUACUGUUUCCCUAGAAUGACGUUUCUGAUAAAGGACAUAGCUGAAAAAUGCCUGCCAGAACUGUAUGAAAUUGGGUUUGUUUCCUACAAUUUCCCCUAAAUGUCAUACAGGGAUUUAACAUCUGUGUAUGCUGUUGGGGCUUUGUGCCAGUCAUCACUUUGGAAAUCUGUGUUCUGAGGCUACAUAAAUGACAAAAAUGUCUUGGGAUUGAAGCCAAUCAACUGUGAACUGUGAAAUUGAAAUUGCUCUUUUGGUUUUAUUUUCUUAAGCAUAUUGCAUAGAGAAUCCUGAAAGUUAUUUAAAAUUUACACUGCUUCUGUUGAUGGCUCA